Molecule: ribosomal RNA, 427 nt
Filed under: uncultured prokaryote
Description: bacterial SSU rRNA
Rfam family: Bacterial small subunit ribosomal RNA
Source: RNAcentral
UGGGGAAUUUUCCGCAAUGGGCGAAAGCCUGACGGAGCAAUACCGCGUGAGGGAUGACGGCCUAUGGGUUGUAAACCUCUUUUUUCAGGGAGGAAUUGAUGACGUGUACCUGAAGAAUAAGCAUCGGCUAACUCCGUGCCAGCAGCCGCGGUAAGACGGAGGAUGCAAGUGUUAUCCGGAAUCACUGGGCGUAAAGCGUCUGUAGGUGGCUAAAUAAGUCAACUGUUAAAUCUUGGGGCUCAACCUCAAAAUCGCAGUCGAAACUAUUUGGCUAGAGUAUAGUAGGGGUAAAGGGAAUUUCCAGUGGAGCGGUGAAAUGCGUAGAGAUUGGAAAGAACACCGAUGGCGAAGGCACUUUACUAGGCUAUUACUAACACUCAGAGACGAAAGCUAGGGUAGCAAAUGGGAUUAGAUACCCCCGUAGUCC